AUGGCGUGGAGCCGGACAGCACACCGGCGCAGCGCCGUCAUGCCACUCAUACGCGCCGCUCUCCGCCGCUUCCUCUCCACGGAGUCUUCGGGGUUCCCGAAGCUACGGAACCUUCCGUACCGACUCCGCCGCGCCGCCGUCCCCGCUGCUCGCACCGCCGUCUCUGACUACCUCAUCUCAACGCGCUGCCUCCCCUCCUCCCACGCCGACUCAAUCACUGCGCUCGCGCCGUGCUCCCUCCACACCUUCCUCGCCGGCAUCCCGGCCGUGCCCAGUACGCUCCCCUCCUCCGACCUCCCCUCCCUCCUCCGCCGCCACCUCUCCUACCAUCCGCUCAACGAGCUUCCCUUCUUCCUCGAGUCCAUCGGCUUGCCCCCUUCCACUGAUUCCGAUCUCAUGUUCCUCACUGACCAUCCGUCCCUCCUCCCCGCCGUUGCCGCGCUCGCGCAUUUCGGCUUCCCGUGGUCCCGCCUCGGCCUGCUAUUCCCCAAUGUUCUCCUCCAAGUCCCUCCCGACCACAUCUCCGCCCGCCUUGUCGCCCUCGAGGAAAGCCUCCGCCCGCUGCCCCGUGCUGCUAUCAUCGCUGCCUGCCUCUCUUUCCCCUCGCUUAUUGAGAACGAUCUCUGCAGCAGUGCCCCCCUUGUCGAUGAUCUUAUGAGGGCGUAUGGAGGAUUGGGUCCGGAUUUGGGGGCUACCAAUGACAUUGAUGUGUUCUUGCGAGUGUGCGGCAGGAUGCAGAUGUUCUACAAUGCUGGGGUGAAGAUUGGGAGCAUCGGGGGGCUUGUUGGGUGCAAUCAGAGGGUUUUUCUUGAGCUUAAGGAGGAGCGGAUUGGUGAGAGGUUGAAAUUCUUCAAGAGGCUGGGGCUGGCAGGGGAGGAGGCAGGGAGCUUCUUACUGAGCAAUCCUGGGUUUUUGGAUCUUGAUUUUGAUGAUGUUGUGAUCUCAGUGCCAGAGUACCUGAGAAGAGUUGGGUUGGCAGAUGACGAGGUUGAUGUGGCGGUGAAGAAGCACCCGUAUGUGGUUGGGAGGAACAGACUGGAGAACCUCCCUGGUGUGCUGCGUGCAAUGGGACUGAGUCAUCGAUUCCUGGAGAAGAUUUCUGGUGGCGGUGAGAGCUUGCGGUAUUUAUCACCAGAUUUCGUCUUGGAGGAUGCUAGUUAUGAUAUGGAGGUGGAGAGAGCAUUCUCAGACAGAAUGGUUAAGGUAAAGGUGGAGAUGAAUGCACAGCAUGUGGACACCAAGCUUGAGUUCUUGAAGAGCAUUGGGUAUGGUGAGAACAAAAAAACCGCACACAUACUUCCUGUUCUGCACAGCACUCGGGAAAUGCUGAAUGAGCGAUUUGACUACCUCCUGGAAAGAGGGGUGGAGUACAAGAUGCUGUGUCGGAUCGUGAGUGUGUUCCCAAAGGUGCUGAACCAGGGCAAGGAGAUGCUCAAUGAAAAGUUGAACUACAUGACUCUGGAUCUGGGAUACUCUUUGGAGUAUCUUGAUUGCUUCCCGGCAUUACUGUGCUUUGAUUUGGAGAACCGGGUCAAGCCUAGGUAUGCAAUGCUUCGGUGGCUCCAAAGUUAUGGCCUUUUUAAAAGACCAUUAGCGCCUGCAACUGUGCUUGCUAACUCAGAGAAGAGGUUCAUUUCCAACCUCUACAAUAUGCAUCCUGCAGCGCCGAAGCUGUGGCUCGAGUGCUUCUCUUCAAGAAUACACAUGGAAUAUUACCUCAAGAAUAUACAGUCCCAGCAUCCAGAUAAUGAAUAA
Molecule: ribosomal RNA, 1755 nt
Filed under: Triticum aestivum (bread wheat)
Lineage: Eukaryota; Viridiplantae; Streptophyta; Magnoliopsida; Poales; Poaceae
Description: partial small subunit ribosomal RNA
Source: RNAcentral